CAGGUGGUCAGGUAGAGAAUACCAAGGCGCUUGAGAGAACUCGGGUGAAGGAACUAGGCAAAAUGGUGCCGUAACUUCGGGAGAAGGCACGCUGAUAUGUAGGUGAAGUCCCUCGCGGAUGGAGCUGAAAUCAGUCGAAGAUACCAGCUGGCUGCAACUGUUUAUUAAAAACACAGCACUGUGCAAACACGAAAGUGGACGUAUACGGUGUGACGCCUGCCCGGUGCCGGAAGGUUAAUUGAUGGGGUCAGCGCAAGCGAAGCUCUUGAUCGAAGCCCCGGUAAACGGCGGCCGUAACUAUAACGGUCCUAAGGUAGCGAAAUUCCUUGUCGGGUAAGUUCCGACCUGCACGAAUGGCGUAAUGAUGGCCAGGCUGUCUCCACCCGAGACUCAGUGAAAUUGAACUCGCUGUGAAGAUGCAGUGUACCCGCGGCAAGACGGAAAGACCCCGUGAACCUUUACUAUAGCUUGACACUGAACAUUGAGCCUUGAUGUGUAGGAUAGGUGGGAGGCUUAGAAGUGUGGACGCCAGUCUGCAUGGAGCCGACCUUGAAAUACCACCCUUUAAUGUUUGAUGUUCUAACGUUGACCCGUGAUCCGGGUUGCGGACAGUGUCUGGUGGGUAGUUUGACUGGGGCGGUCUCCUCCUAAAGAGUAACGGAGGAGCACGAAGGUUGGCUAAUCCUGGUCGGACAUCAGGAGGUUAGUGCAAUGGCAUAAGCCAGCUUGACUGCGAGCGUGACGGCGCGAGCAGGUGCGAAAGCAGGUCAUAGUGAUCCGGUGGUUCUGAAUGGAAGGGCCAUCGCUCAACGGAUAAAAGGUACUCCGGGGAUAACAGGCUGAUACCGCCCAAGAGUUCAUAUCGACGGCGGUGUUUGGCACCUCGAUGUCGGCUCAUCACAUCCUGGGGCUGAAGUAGGUCCCAAGGGUAUGGCUGUUCGCCAUUUAAAGUGGUACGCGAGCUGGGUUUAGAACGUCGUGAGACAGUUCGGUCCCUAUCUGCCGUGGGCGCUGGAGAACUGAGGGGGGCUGCUCCUAGUACGAGAGGACCGGAGUGGACGCAUCACUGGUGUUCGGGUUGUCAUGCCAAUGGCACUGCCCGGUAGCUAAAUGCGGAAGAGAUAAGUGCUGAAAGCAUCUAAGCACGAAACUUGCCCCGAGAUGAGUUCUCCCUGACCCUUUAAGGGUCCUGAAGGAACGUUGAAGACGACGACGUUGAUAGGCCGGGUGUGUAAGCGCAGCGAUGCGUUGAGCUAACCGGUACUAAUGAACCGUGAG
This 1278-nucleotide ribosomal RNA is filed under the name Escherichia coli. RNAcentral describes it as "partial 23S ribosomal RNA". It matches the Rfam family "Bacterial large subunit ribosomal RNA", at positions 1660 to 2915 of the family's 2925-position model. Lineage: Bacteria; Pseudomonadati; Pseudomonadota; Gammaproteobacteria; Enterobacterales; Enterobacteriaceae. The record is from RNAcentral.